Molecule: long non-coding RNA, 1840 nt
Filed under: Callithrix jacchus (white-tufted-ear marmoset)
Lineage: Eukaryota; Metazoa; Chordata; Mammalia; Primates; Cebidae
Description: lncRNA (ENSCJAG00000074315.1)
Source: RNAcentral
AUGGAGUUGGGGCUUUCACAGUCUCUCAGGACCUGGAACUCUAUAGGGCCUUCUGCACCCUUAGGACCCUCAGAGUCUGAGUCCACAGAGGCCUUGGAUUUCCCAGGGCUUGGCAAAACAACGGAGCAUUUGGAGGGGUUCCGGUCCAUAGAAGCACUUGAGCUAAACAGUGUGCUCGGGCCUUCACCAGGAGUGGGCAGUAGGGAGCUUCCUGGACCGUUGGAGGCGGUAGGCUGCACUAGGGUACUUGGUCCCUCACCAGCAGUAAGCGGCACGGUGGUGCUCAGCCCCUCAGUGGCGGUGGGAGGCACAGAGGUGCUCAGUCCUUCACCAGGGGUGGGUGGCAUGGAGGUGCUCAGUCCCUCACCAGGCGUAGGCUGCAUGGAGGUGCUCAAGCCCUCAGGGGUGGCGGGUGGCACGGAGGUGCUUGAUCCCUUACUAGGGGCGGGCACGAAGGAGGUGCUUUGUCCAUCAGUGGCGGUGGGCAGCACGGAGGUGCUCGGUCCCUCACUGGGAGUAGGCGGCACAGAGGUGCUCAGGCCCUCAGUGGCAGUGGGAGGCACAGAGGUGCUCAGUUCCUCACCAGGGGUGGGAGGCACGGAAAUGCUCAGUCCCUCACCAGGAGUGGGCUGCACGGAGGUGUUCAGGCCCUCAGUGGCUGUGGGUAGCAUGGAGGAGCUUGAUCCCUUACUGAGGGUGGGCACCAAGGAGGUGCUUUGUUUGUCAGAGGCGGCAGGCAGCACGGAGGUGCUUGGCCCCUCAUCAGGGGUGGGCGGCAAGGAAGUGCUCAGGCCCUCAGGGACGGUGGGCGGCACGGAAGUGCUCAGUCCCUCAUCAAGAGUGGCCGGCACGGAGAUGCUCAGGCCCUCAGUGGCGGUGAGCGGCACGAAGGUGCUCGCUUCCUCACCAGGGGUGGGCGGCACGGAGGUGCUCCGUCCCUCAGCAAGGGUGGACACCACGGAGGUGCUUGGUCCCUCAAAGGCGGUGGGCGGCACGGAGGUGCUCGUUCCCUCACCAGGGGUGGGCGGCACGGAGGUGCUCGGUCUCUCAGAGAUGGUGGGCGGCAAGGAGGUGCUCGGUUCCUCAGAGGAAGUGGGCGGCCUGGAGGUGUUCUGGCCCUCCGGGGCGGCAAGCGUCACAGAUGUGCACAGCCCCUUAGACAUCGUGGGAGGCCCAGAGGUGCUUAGGCCCUCACUGGGGGUGGGCAGCACGGAGGUGCCAGGUCCCUCAGAGGACGGUGGGCUGCCCAGAGGCGCUUGAGGCCUCAGAGAUGGUAGGCGGCACAAAGGUGCUUGGACCCUCAGCGGAGGUGGGCAGAACGGAUGUGCUUGGGCCCUCAGAGGCACAGAGGCCUUGGAGGAUCUGGCAGUCGCUGGGACCCUGGGGGACGUCGAGCCCUGCACAUCACCGGGGAGCCCGGGGGCAUUAGGGGCCUGGAUUUCGCUGUUGUGCGCAGUGGCCUUUGCACCGCGGCGGCGGCGGCGGCGCGAAUUCUGGCUUACCAGAGACAUGGUCCUGCCGACCGGCGCGUAGAUCUGGCAGAGAGGACUGUAGGUGUGUAGGUGCCUCGGCACAAAACUGCUGCUAGCGGUAAUUCUGUUGCUGCUGCUGCCAGAACUAAAGUUCCAAGCAACUUGCUGAAGCUGAAAUUAGAGGUGGUGAAAAAGGCAGGCACUGGCCAGCAAUGAAUGCUAGUCUCAGUGUACUCUGCUUCUCACACCCCGCCCUCUGCCGCAGUCCGCGCAGUCGCAGACCCGCUCUGCGGCAAGGCGAUCUCGCCCCGCCCCGCACCUCCCCAGGGCGGGGAGAAAGUGGAUGCGGUGGUUCUGCACCAAAGGAG